AAUAAUUCAUCUUAUAUUGAAAUAUGAAAAUACAAAAAUAAAAUUCCGAAUCUGUCAUGCGCUGCAUACAUAGAAGGAAAAAUCUUGUAUUGAAAUAAAUUUAUAUUAUAAUAUUUCAUAUUUAUGGACACUUCAAGACAAGGUUUUUAGCUAUUGUUGUACUUCCAACUACAUAUAUAUUUUCUUCUAAACUAUAAUACAUACACAGGAGCGUGCACAAACAAAUCUCCUGAUGCAAAAUAAAAACUGAGUAGUAUGCCCAAAAUACACGCCAGUGUCAAAUUAUACAAAUACAAUAAUAAUUUUGAGGAUAGAUAGACUAAGACAGACCAAGGAAUUGCUUGGAGGUCUAUUCAUUGGAGUACCAAAAUAAAAAAAGAAUGAGCAUCAAUAUUAGGAGUUGUGCUUCCCAUUCCUUUC
Molecule: long non-coding RNA, 420 nt
Filed under: Hordeum vulgare
Lineage: Eukaryota; Viridiplantae; Streptophyta; Magnoliopsida; Poales; Poaceae
Description: long non-coding RNA (HVUL_LNC005162)
Source: RNAcentral